AUUCAUGUAGGGUCUAAACUCUAAAGAUUAAAGACUCCAAAACUAAAAUUUUUAAUUUCUUAUUUGUCUUUGUCUAAACAAUAAACUGUUAACAGGAAGAGAAAAAUUAGGGCAGAUGGCCGACGGCGCAGCUCCUUAGUCGGGCAACUAGCAGGCGGCAGAUGGUGGGAUGGGUGACGGUAGUAAACUCAUCACUCACUCCUCCCUAAUUUACUUGAAAGGUAUGUUUCUUCCAUAAUUUACUUGAAAGCUUUCUCCUUUAAUUUUUUGAUAUGGGAGGUGUACACUGUACAGAGAUGGAGAUGAUAUCAGAAAGAUGGGUUUUAAACUAUACAUUGACUACAAUAGUUGUCUACAGUUGUUUGCUUUGCUAUAAUUUUGCUCUAGCUGUUAGUUUGAAAUUGUAAACCCGAGUCAAAAUUGUUCUUAAUGUUGUUUGAUUUCAUCAGCAGGUGUUGAAUAUUGGGUUCCGUUAGUGCAAUUGUUUGUUCAAUUCUGCUGCAUUUGCUGUUGGUGUUUUGGAUUUUUGAUGCUAGUUGGUAUUAACAAAUUCAAGUGUUUUAGUGCCAUGUUAAAGUUUUAGGCCACCGCACUAUAUUUUGUUAGCACAUGGCUCAAACCCUACCCAUGUACGCACCUACAACACGUGAUGUUGCAAAUAAUUCAGGCAACUAGUGCCUCAACUAAGUUUAGAUAAUAUACUUACCUCGAGCAAACAAAAUUACUCCACUAACAAGCCAUUCAUGCGUGUACCAAUCCCCAGACGACGCGAAUCUAGCCAAAAUAACAUAGUACCAUCAAUAAAAAGUACAGGAAGGGGUUCCAAAAGAUAAAGUUAUGAUCUUUAACUCAAAUUGAAAUAUCAACCCCGGGCCCAUACCUCCAAACCUAACCAAAUUCACAAAUUUCGAACACUCGUUCCAAUAUGAGUCCAAUCAUACAAAAAUCAUCCAAUUCUAACAACAAAUUAACCCUCAAAUCCUCAAAUUUCACUCGCCAAUACCAUAGUCCAAAUAUCCCCAUAUCCUAACUUUCAUUCUUGUAAACUAGGUGCUAUAAUCAUUUCGUAUUCAAUAUUUAUGGAGAAAAUGACUAAAAGUCAGUUACCUCUUGAAAUAGGAAGAGAAUUACUCCAAAAAUUAGUCUUAGACCGAAUUCUAAAAUUCAAAAAAUCAUAAAAUAACUCAAACCCUCAUUUUUAUUACACUGCCCAAUGAUCUUCCACACGAUGCCCAUUAAUCUGUAUCUGCAGGACCUCUUCUGCUAUCAAAAAAUGCAUAUGCGCUCUUCAUUAAACUCCCGACCUUACGUUAUCUAGACCAUCACCCGCAUCUGCGCAUUCGCACGUGUAGAGACUUUCUCCAUCUGUGGUGCAAGCUCACCCAAUUGCCUUUUGCUUUUGAAACCAAUAAUCUACAUCUAUGGACUCGCAUAUGCAAUUAUUCUCCGCACCUGCAACUAUUACCAUUCUUCAAUACUUCGUAUAUGCGCACCAAAUUUCCGCACAUGUGGCGGUGCAUCAACAGCCUUACCCACCACAAGUGUGAAAGCUGUAGAAGCUUAAAGCUUCAUCUACUUCUCCAAGACAAAAACUAAUCCAAAUUCAAUCCAAAUAACACUCAAGGACCCCAAGACCCUUUCUAAACGUACCAACAUGCUAAAAUACGAUAAAAACAUAGUCAAAGCCUCAAAUCACACUAAAAGACAUCAAAAUAACGAAUCACACCCCAAUUUAAGCCUAAUAAAAGUAAUAAACUUCCAACUUCUAUAAACAAUGUCGUACUAUAUCAAAUGAACUUCGAGUGACCUGAAAAUUUGCACACUAGUCUCAAAUGACACAACAGAUCUAUUCCAACUCUUGGAUCCAAAAUCCAAAUCCGUUAUAAGUAAACUCUCGGUCAAGCCCCUCAACCUUCCAAACCUUAAAUUUUUCAACUUUCGCCAAAAUCCACAAAAUCAACAUACGGACCUCCAAAUCCAAAUACGAACAUGCGCCUAAGUUCAAAAUGACCAUACAAUGCUAUCAGAACCAUUAAAACUCCAUUCUACUGUCAUUUAUACAAUAGUCAAACUCCAGCCAACCCUUUAAACUUAAGCUACCACCCUUGGGACUAAGUAUCCCAAUUCAUUUAGAAACAUUCCCGGAACAAAAUCAACCACCCGGAAAGUAACGUAACCAGAAGUGAUCAUAGAAUAAGCUUUAAACUGGGAAUAGGGAUAGAAUACACCAAACAACCAGCUUGAUAAUAACACUUCCCCCUCUUAAAUAAAUGUUCAUUCUCGAACGGGUUUAGAAUCAUACUUGGAGUCUCAAAUAGGUAUGGAUAACUGUAGGUCAGCAUACUGAAGGGAAAAUGAGAGAUUGUAGGCCACCUCCCUAAUCUUCUCAAGCACCUCAAAAAGGCCAAUAUAUCGAGAGCUCAACUUGCGCUUCUUCCCGAACCUCAUCACACCCUACAUGGGCAAAACUAUCAACCAAACCAUCACGAACCUUCCUAUCAACAUAAAUCUUCUAUCUAGACUGUGUUGUUCAAAGUUGAUCCUUAAUCAACUUGACAUUCUCUAAGGCAUCCGAAACUAGAUCAAUACCCAACAACCUAGCAUUUCCAGGCUCAAACCAGCUAACAGAAGAACGAUAUUGCCUUCGAUGUAAAGACUCAUAAGGAGCCAUCUAAAUAGUCGAGUGAUAGUUGUUGUUGUAGGCAAACUCUGCAAGUGGUAAAAAAUGAUCCCAUGAACCCUCGAUAUCUAUAACACUAGUGUGUAGCAUAUCCUUUAAGAUCUGAAUGGUGUGCUUGGAUUUUCCGUUCUUCUGCGGGUAAAUAUUGUACUCAACUCAACUCGUGUACCCAACUCUCGAUGCACUUCUCUCCAAAACUGCAAAGUGAAUUGUAUUCCCUGAUUGAAGAUAAUAGAUAUCGUCACACCAUUAACAUGAACAAUCUCACAGGUAUCAAUCUAUUGUAGUCUCUCUAGAAUAGGUAGUCACAACCGUAAUGAAAUGUGCAGGCUUUGUUAGUCUACCUACAAUAACCCACACUAAGUCAAAUUUCUUCAUAGUCUGUAGGAGCCCAACAAGGAAAUUCAUGGUAACCCGCACUCACUUCCACUUGAGAAUAUCAAGUCUCUAAACCAACAUGUCUGGCCUCUAAUGCUCGUAUUUCCCCUGGUGGUCAUUCAAGCACCAAGCCAUAUACUCUACUAUAUCUUUCUUCAGUAUUCUACACCAAUAGUGCUGCCUUAAAUCCUGAUACAUCUUAUUGGCUCCCAAAUGAAUAGAAUACCGCAAACUAUGCACCUCCUCAAGAAUCAGCUCACAUAACUCAUCCUCAUUGGGCAUACAAUUAUGAAUCCGCAUCUACAACACCCCAUCAUCUCAAAUAGAAAGCUCUUUGGAAUCACCAUGUUGCACUACCUCCUUAAUGACAAGCAAAUGUGUGACAUUAUAUUGACGUUUUUUGAUGCGUCAAAGACCGAGAAACUACCUAAGAAAGAAGUUAGAUAGGCUCCGAAAUAUCUAACCUCAUGAACUUAUUGCUCAAAGUCUUAACAUCCAAUGCCAACGGUCUCUUACCAACUAGAAUAUAUUCAAGGCUGCUCAGACUCUUAGCCUUUCUACUCAAAGCAUCAUCCACCAUAUCGGCCUUUACGGGAUGAUACAAAUGGUUAUAUCAUAGUCUUUUAGUGGCUCCAACCACCUCCUCUUUAUCAUGUUUAGGUCCCUCUGCUUAAACAAGUGUUCUAGACUCCGAUAGUCGGUAAAUACCUCACAGAACACGCUGUAGAGAUAGUACCCCAAAUUUCAAGCGUGAGCAAUGGCUCUCAUGAAUGGGGUUGUUUUUCUCAUGGGGGUUCAAUUGGAAAAUAAGCAAUCACCCGACCCUCCUUCGUCAAGACACACCUAAUAGAAAUCCACGAAGCAUCAUAAAAUACCAUAUAAGAACCUGAUGCUGCAAGCAAAAUUAAAGUCGGAGCUAUGGUCAAAGCAAACUUGAGCUUUUGAAACUCUUCUCAUACUUAUUAGACCAUCUUAUUAGGGCACUCCUAUAGGUCAAUAUAGUCAAAGUUUAGCAUAAAGCUUCUUCUCCCUCAAGUUUUGGAGUACAAUUCUCAUAUGUUGCUUUUGUUCCUCCUGGUUACGUGAGUACACUAAUAUAAUACCAAUGAAUACUAUGACAAAAAAAUCAAGAUUUGGCUUAAAUACAUUGUUCAUCAAACGCAUGAAAGCUGAUGAGGAAUUUGGCAGCCCAAAUGACAUCACACGAAACUCGUAACAACCAUAAGGGGUCCUGACAUCAUCUUUAGAAUAUAACAAUCCUAAAUCUUCAACUAAUGAUACCCAAACAUCAAAUAGAUCUUCGAGAAUACCCUUACAACCUGAAGCUAGUCGAAUAAGUCAUUAAUGUGUGGCAAAUGAUACUUGUUCUUAAUUGAAACUUUGUUCAACUACCUAUAAUCAAUGUUUAUCCACAUCGUACCAUCUUUCUUCUUCACAAAUAAAACUAGCGCAUCCUAAGGUGUAAAGUUGGUCCUCAUGAAGCCCUUAUCAAGCGGAUCGUGAAUUUGUUCCUCUAACUCUUUUAAUUUUGUCGGUGCCAUGGGAUCUACAGGAAUAGAGAUAGGUUGAGUGUCUGGCACCAGAUCAAUACCCAAAUCAACGUCCCUGACCGGUAGCAUGCCUCGUAGGUUUGUUGGAAAUAUAUCGGGAAAGUCUCUCACAACUAGAACUGACUCAGUGGUAGGGUAUCAACACUAGCGUUCCUCACAAAGGCCAAAUAGGCUAGACUUCCCUUCUCAACAAUCCAUUGAGCCUUCGAAUACGAAAUCACUUUACUGGGAACAUAAUCUAGAGAACCUCUCCACUCACCCCUAGGAUACCCUAGCAUCGCCAAUGUCACGGUCUUAGCGUGAUAAUCUAGAAUAGCAUGACACAGUGACAACCAAUGCAUGCCUAAAUUAACAUCAAAAUAAACCAUGAUAAGUAAUAAAAUAUCUAUCCUCGCAAUAAUCCCCCAAUGUCCACCAGACAUGACUAAUACACACGGUACACAAUAAUAAAAUCACCUACCGAGGAAGAUACAUGAACAUGCAUAACUAAAUAAUCAUGGGGCAUAUCCAAAUAACGAGCAAAGUAUGAUGAUUCUUAUGAAUAAGUUGAACCAGGAUCAAAUAAUACAAAAGCCUCCAUCUGUCAUUCUGAAACAAUACAUGUGAUCACGGCAUUGAAAGGAAUUGCCUCUGGCGUGGUUGGAAAUGCGUAGCAGUGAUCCUGACCACCACCUGAUUGACCUUCCCCUCUAGGAUGACCUCGAGUUGAUUGGGCCCCAACUUGAGCUGGCUGUGGGGGUGAUGUAGCUACUGGUGGUGAAAUCAUUAGCUUUGAGCUCUACUAUGGAACCCUACUUAAUAGUCUAGGGCAAUCUCUCUUGAGACAACUCAAGUCUCCACGCAUAUAGCAACACCUCCUGAUAGGCUGCUGACCUUGAUAGACUGAAGAACUGCCUGUGGAGACUUGGGCAAAUGCAGCAUGGUAGGAACUCUGCACUGGUAAUGCACGAAAUGAUGACUGAGGUGGGAGUGCACUGUAGGAACUAUGAUUAAUUUAGGAACCGCGAGGAAUAUGGCGAGUUUCUCGCAUGGGUCUAGACGAACGACAGUUGCUGUAAUAGGAUAGACCUCCAUAUGAGGCACCGCUGAAACCACCUGAACUAUAAUGUUUCUUGCCCUCUUGUUUCUCACGCUCCUUCUUGUGAACUAGCUCUAUGCGUCUAGCAAUAUUAACCACCUCGUCAAACCUCACACCCACCCUCGGGCCAUAAUGAAGCCUAAUACAUAAUUGAGGCCAUCAAUGAACCUCCUAAUAUUUUCCGUCUUAAUGGAAACCAACCAUACAGUGUGACGAGCCAAGAUUAAAAACCUCAUGUCAUACUGAGUCACAAUCAUACGCUCUUGGCAUAGCCGCUCAAACCACCUACGCAACUCCUUUCUGCAAGUCCAUGGGUAAAACUUCUUUAAGAAGAUAACUGAGAACUCAAGGCAUGUAAGUGGCACUUCAUCAUAGGGCCUGCUCAACUUAGAAGCCUACCACCAUCAGUAAGAUGCCCUUGUCGACUGAAAAUUUAUAAAUGAAACCCAAGUUGUGUCCAAAUACCUGUCGUGCGAAGAAUCCGCUGACAUCGGCCUAUAAGAUCCUCAGUAUCCCCUGACUCCGCUCUAUUAAACUCUAGAAGCUUAAGCCUUCCCAACUGCUCCAAUCUGUUCGGCUUCUCAUUACUCGUAUGGAGACCAACCUCGGCCCUAGUGGAAACAACUGGCUGAACUAGAAAUACAUCCGGUGUCUGGUGACCUAGAACUAGCUGCUCCAGAGUAUGGGCGAUAGGAGUCUUGGCACCUCCCCAAGCCUGUGAAGUGGCUGGUGCAGUUAGAACUGAGACUGCUUGAGCCAGGCUCGUGCACGCUGCCAAAAUGUGUUCUAAGGCUUUGAAGGCAUGGGAUCACAAAGGGCACUACUUGUUCCUGACCUGGUCCCACAAACUCGACAACAUCCGAUACCAAAGAUCUUUGGCUCCACAUGUGCCUCUCUAAACAACCAUCUAAAGUGGUUCCAAAAGAUAAACCGAAGAUCUUUGGCUCAAAUUUAAAUGUCAACCCAAAACCCUAGCCCGUACCUUGAAAUACAACAAAAUUAAGAAAUUUCAAACACAUCUAAUUCUGAGUCCAUCCAUAUAAAAAUCAUCUAAUUCCAACAACAAAAUCGACCCUCAAAUUCCCAAAUUUCACUCUCCAAUAACAUAGUCCUAAAAUUCCCAAAUUCUAACUUAGAUUCAUGAAAAUUAGGUAUUAUAACAAAUGGGAAUUUAAUAUUUAUGGGCAAAAGUGAUUAGAAGUCACUUACCUCUUGAAUUAGGAUGCGAAAUACUCCAAAAAUCACCUUACACUGAAUUCUAAUAUUCCAAUAAUGAGAAAUAACUCAAAGACUUAUGUUUAUUACACUACAGAGAGAUCCUGCACCUCCGCCCCAUUUAUCCGCUUCUGUUGUCAAAAUACGUAUCUAGCUCAUCAUUAAACUCCCGAACUUCCGAUUCUAUGGAUCAUCACCCACAUCUGCGGUUGUAGAGUCAUUAUGUAUGAUAAAAAAGAAGAGGAAAGAAGAAUGUUAAAGAAUUCCCUAUAAGUACUUCACUUAGCCUUUCUAUAUUCUUUCUUCUCCACUUCCCUCAAAGUGUGCUCUUUCCUUCAUACGCAUGGUUCUUUAUUAUACUUCCCCCUUUCUCAUGUUGGACUACAUUUUAUUUUCAAAGAUGAGUUGCAGAUGAGUCGGUUUGAUCACCCCACGUGUGGAUGAUUUUUAAAUGCCUUAUUGUAGGCCCAUCUAGUUGAUCGAGGGAUAAACAAGCAUAAAUAAGGGAUGGAGAAUCUUUAUUUGAUCUUGAUUUGAUGCAAUCCUUUUCUUCACCUGCUACGUUCACCAGCCUUCCCCACUUCUCAUCUGCGUACAAAUUGCGCACUUGGGACACCGCAUGCCGCCAUAUCCACCACUGGUGCGAAGCACUUGAAGCCUGAAGCUUCAACCUAUACUCCAAGGCCAAAACUAAUCCAAAUUCAAUACGUACACACCCUCGUGACACAAUCCAAACAUACCAACGUAUCCUAAAACAUGAUACAAACUUAGUCAAAGCCUCAAAUGACAUCAAACAAUAUCAAAAUCACAAAUCACACCCCAAUUCAAGCAUAAUGAAACUAAUGAACUUCCAACUUUAAAACCAAUGCCGAAAUAUAUCAAAUCAACUUCGAAUGACCUCAAAUUUCGAACACUAGUCCCAAAUGACACAACAGACCUAUUCCAACUCUCAAAAUCAAAAUACGAACCCGGUAUCAAUAAAAUCAACUCUCGAUCAAACCCCUCGACCUUCCAAACCUCCAAUUUUCCAACUUUCGCCCAAAUGCAACAAUAAACCUACGGACCUCCAAAUCCAAAUCUGGACAUACGACUAAAUCUAAAAUCAAUAUAUGAAACUAUUGGAACCAUCAAAACUCUAUUCCGGAGUCGUUUACACAAAAGUUGUACUUAAGCUUCUAACCUGGACUAAGUGUCCCAGUAAACUUCGAAACAUCUCUGAAAUCAAACCAACGAACCCAGUAAGUCACGUAACCACAAGUAAACAUAGAACAAGCAUUAAACUUGAUAACAAUGCUAUGAUACAUAAAUUGACCGACCGAGUCGUUAGAAACCCAAAAUUUCUAACAGGUAUGGCUCAUUUGAUAGAGAAGAGAUAACGCUCGAUCAAAACGGUAAUGGGUUAUAACUUAUUGCAAGAAUCAACGACAAUAUCUACAAGCUUGAUUUAUUUGGUUUGUAUAACAUUACUGCUUAUUUCUUUAAUAUUUUUGACGUAUCUUCCCCUGAUUUGAAGUCUAUUAAAAAGUUCUUCAAACCAAGUCAGAUGAUGCAUAUCCAGAAGCUAACCCAAGUCAGGCGAAUCCUUCAAAUAGAUCAUUUACGAGAAAAGCUAAGAAAUUACAAGAGCUUCAAGUUUUCCUUGUUUGAAGAAUGUGGGGAAAUCAAACAAGGAAAUCCAAGGACAAUUAACCUCCUCACGAACUCUUGUUUAGCUCAAUUUUCUUGGAAGCUAACUAUGAUGUGCAAUUUUAUAAACUAGGCGCGUGGAGUGUCAAAACUAUAAAUACUUAUUUUAUUUGUUGUCUUUCUUUUAAAAGACUGGAUCUUAACAACUGUAUAGAUUGUUUGGCCAUCUUAUUUUGAAACGUAUUUUUAUUUUUUAAAAAGUAAUUUUGGUGAGAAAUAGUUUGUAUUUGACUAAUAAAUUUAAAAAAUAUUAAUGAGAAACAAUUGAUAUUUGACCAAACUUUUAAAAAAAAAAAUUUACGUGUAUUUUUUCAAAAGUACUUUUUUGAAAAAAGAGCUUUAAGAGAAAAACUAUUUUUUCUUGAUUCUUCAAAACUACUUUUGCUUCUACUGAAACCAAUUUUCUUCAUUCUAUAAGCUUGGUCAACAUUUUAACUCUUUAAAGAAAUUACUUCUUUAAAAAAUGCAUUUUGAUCUUGAAAAGCUCGACCAAAUAGGCUAGUAAUCAGUUUAGUUAAAGGUUCAGAAUCUGCAUCGUUCUAGGAUUAUAAUUUUGGGGACUAAUUUUGGGUCAUUUAUAGGUGCUAAAAGUAGAAAUAAACUUGACUUUAUUUGUGGACUUCAUAUGAUUUUACUUUUAUAUUUUUGUAUGUUGAUUCAGACUAUAUUUUGUAUUUAAUUAAUAAUCAUAAUCACAAAGAUAGAUUCAGGGAUUUAAAUUUUAUGAAUUCAACCUUUAGAGUUUUUUAAUAUUAAACCCAUUCUAACUUUCAUAUUAUGGGUUCAUACAUGCUACUUAUUGUAACUUUAAUAAAUUUCUACAUAUAAAUUUAUACACAGAAUCAAGAGUACUGAGAUUUUAUAACAACCCGAGCAGUCGUUUUGUGUACUUCAGCCUCGUUCCCCCUUUUGAAUCUCACAUUUGUAUUUGUGAUUUUAUGACAUGUGGAAUUGGUUAUUUUUCUCUCGGAAAUGUUUUAGGUUGAUUUGGACCCUUUGGUUCUUGGUUUAGAUGCUAAGCUAGAAAUUUAGAUUGGAGUUUGAAUUUUGUGAAAUCGACUCCGAAAUAGAAUUUGGAUCCUAUAGGUUCGUAUCAUGAUUUUGAAGUUGGACGUAUGCCUGGAAUUGAAUGCGGAUUUCCUUAGGAUGAUUUGACUUAUUUCGUCGAAACUUGGCAAUUUGAGGUUUUGAAGUUCUCCAAAAUUUUACUAUAGAUUGACUUUUUAGCUAUCAGGUUUGGAAUUUAGUUUUGGGAGUUGAUUAUGUUCAUUUUGGUAUUUGGAAUUUGUUCGCAAAAUUUGGCAUCAUUUAGAGAUUGUUUGAUAGGAUUCGGAUGCUUGAUUACAAUUCUAGAGGUUCUUGAAGUUUUCAUUGAAUUUCAUGCAAUUUGAUGGUGUAUUCUCAGUUUUAGAUGUCAUAUUUAUUUUUUUAUUGGCGGGUGAAUUUGUAUGAUGUUAUUAGACUUGUGUGGAUGGUUAGUUUGAAGUCCAGAGGGCUCGGGUGCGGUUUUGACGUAUUUCGGAAUAGUUUUUAACUGAAAUAGGUUGUUGGUGUGCUGGUGUCUUUCAUGUUACUAUUACGAAUAACAACAUCAAAAUUGCAGUGUUAGUUGGGGUCUUAGGUUGUCGCAUUUUUCGAUAUCUGAAUCGGAAUUACGAAGUAGUACCUGGGCUGGGUAGGUUCACAUUGUGAAACAAUUAGUUACAGGUACGAGAGAAGCAUGCUUCGCAAUUGCAAAGCCCAUGUCACAUUUGUGACGUCCCAUAUAGACUUUCAGCACAGCAUUUUUAAGGUAUUCUUCUCACUUGCGAGAAUUCAAAAUUUCUCUAGUGUCGUAAUAGCAACAUCUACAACAGAACAAAAGGUUGAAAAGUCGGUAUUUCAUCUUAUUUUCUCUCAUUUAUAACCCAAGACUCGGUUGGAGGCGAUUUGGAAAGAAAAUUUAGAUCUAUAAUUAUUGGUUAAGUAAUUUUAAUCAAUUUCAAAUCAUGCUUCAUCAUAAUAAUGGCUCGGCCGAUCAUCUUGAGUUCUAGCUCAUUGUUCGGCAGUUUGAGUCCCUAAGUAACUUUACUUUAGGUAUUAUAACCUACAUGUAUGAUUGGAUUUUGGGAAGUUUGGAGUUGAUUUAAAAGGAAAAAUUUUCAAUUCGGAAGCUUUAAGUUAAACGAGUUGACCAAGGUUUGACUUUUGAGUAAAUAACCAUAGAAUCAGGAAUUGAAGGUUGUAAUAAUAGUAUAUUGAAUUGCAAUUGCAGAUAGCUCUUUCUCUCUAAAAUCCUCUCCCUUCUCUCUAGGAAGAAGGGUGAAUAGUGAUUCUGUCACUAUUCAUCUGGCAUAUCUCCGGAAAUCCGGCGGUGGAUUGUCAAAAAUUUGGUGUCACAAGAUCCCCUUAUUUUUGUGACCAAUCCCCAAUUGAUUUUUCCUCAAAUAUAUAACCAAUUUUCUACAUCUUAAAUCUUAUUUCCACGAUUUACUGUAGCACAAAGUUUUUUUGAAAUUUUCCAUCACUAUUGCCUUUUAAUAGCGUGGAUGUGAUGGAUUGUAGUUGAAGCAUAGGGCAACAAUGGAUGCUACGCCCUCUCCCCAGCCUUUGGCUGUGGGAGAGGCUAUUUUAAUCAAUAUAGAAAAUCAAACAAGUCACGUUACCAAACAAACAUAUGCAACACAACUUGCUGGGCAACAAUCUGUCGCAAACAAAACUCAAAACUGGAACUUUGUCCUGUUACGUUUGAGCAUAGAAUACCUACUCUUGAAUUCACAGUAGAUGAAGUGAAUUCACUUACCAGGGAGGAAGGUCUUCAACAAGCAGUUAUAAUUAAAUUUUCAUAUGGAAAGCCUGAUGCUGAGAAAGAUUUUGCCGAAACAAUUCGACGUCAAAGGUAAUUGCAACAUUGGACAGCUAGAAUAUCGGCAUAUUCUAGUAAGAUUUGAUCUAUUUGAAGAUUUUGCUCAUGUGUUAUCAAGAACAAUUGGAUGUGUUAAGGCAAAAGGAGACGAGUUCUUCUUUAGGACAUUCCCAUGGACAAUCGGAUUUAAUCCCCGUGAAGAAACGUCAAAAGCUGUGGCUUGGAUUUUGUUUCCUGAACUACCAGCAAAUUUCUUCGCCAAAAAAAUCCUUAAUGUCCAUCGCAUCUGCCGUGGGAAAGCCUCUUGCAGUAGAUAAGGGUACUCAAGAUCGAACACGAUCUAGUACGGCACGAGUUAAAGUCUCGAUUAAUUUACUGGACAAACAUCCAAAGAAAAUCAAGAUCAAGAUAGUAGAUAUGAAAUCUGGAAAAAUAGUUGAAUACGAACAGCAGAUCGUGUUUGAUAAUUUACCUAAAUACUGCAUGUACUGUGUCAUCAAGGUCAUGAUGUAAAAUCGUGUCGAUGGAGUAUAGAGGAAUUUAAUGAAGAAGCAGUUCAUGUUGACGAAUCUGAAGGCCGGGGCAGUUUGGCUAAAUUAGGAGGUGAUGCUAGGGAGUACUUUAAUGCUAAUCUUGCAGGACAACGAAUUUAAGGGGUACUACCUAAUGCGAUUGAUGAUGCAGGACAAAAAAAUGUUUCUAGUUCAAAUGUUCCAGCUGCUGAGACUCUUUCAAGGCCAAAUGGUGAUGUUGCACAGCUUUGUAAAGUGCCAACUACUGUUCCAUUGAAUGUUCCUUUGAAUGUUUUAAGUGAAAAACAGUCAACUAUGAUGGUGUCAAAUUUGGAACCUACUGGUGCAUCUGGUGUAGCAGCAGUUGACAAUGCAAAAAGGACUGACCAGAUAUUGAUAGACGUUUCUGUGUAGGAUAAAGUCAUUGACCAGCAGCAGUUGUUGCAAAAUAAUAAGAAUAAAAAAAGUGCAUUGUUUGGUCUGGUACAAACUUGGAGGUUUCUGAUACUUUGAAAGCUACUAGAGAUCCAACUGUUGUAUCAGUUGAACCAGUGGAGAAGUCAACAGUACCAAAUCUAUUUGAUGCUUCAAAGAUUCUUGGACAACAAGGAUGUAAUGAAUUGAAUAAAGCAUCAACUCUGAUUGCUACUAAGCCUACUAAUACAACUGAAAUAUGCAAAGGACAGCAUUACAAGUACAAUGUGCAGCAGCUAGUAGCAAGAGAGGUAAAUGUACCAGCUAGUGUAGAUCCAAAUUUUAAGGCAAAUAUAGCAUUGGAUGUCUUCAAAUGGACUGGUUAAAAUGAAGAGGUGGAUGAUCAGUGUGAUGUUAUGGAAUUGGAGUUUGCAGCAUCUGUUACAAAGGGUAACAAGAGUACCAACUGGACAGUAGAUACUGAAGCAGCUGCUGCAGUUUCUAUUUUUUCAAAGCAGGAUUCUACUCUUGCUUUGCAGACAGUAGAUACUGAAGCAGCUGCUACAGUUUCUAUUUUUACGAAGCUGGAUUCUACUCUUUAUUUGCAAUGUCCAGUUUAUCGAGCUGUAACUCGGAGUGAUAACCAUGAUGCUGUGAUUGAACUUCUUCAAAGAACAGCAAGUCAUACGGAUACUGGUGUUGCCUUGAAGUCAGUUCGAGAAGAUACCUCUAACCAGCCUGAUAUGGUUCAACAACAAGGCAGUGUGACUAUUUCUAUAGGUACAGCUGCUGCAGAUGUCUCUAAUGCUGCCUUAGUUCAAGGUGAGUUUGCUUUAGAGGGGCUGAAUUUGAGAGAUCAAAAACUACUGGUGCUACUGUUGCAGAUGUCUGUAAUGCUGCCUUAGUUCAAGGUGAGUAUGCUUUAGAGGGGGCUGAAUUUGAGAGAUCAAAACCUACUGAUGCUAGACAACACACAAGGGAAGCUGGACAACAUAUUGCUAAGAUAAUUGGUCAUCGGUUUCCAACAAAAAAAAGAACUCCAAAAAGUAAAAAAAAGCUGCAGAUCGCAGAAAAAAGUCUAGGUUUACCAAAAAAUUCAAACUCAUUUGCUGCACUUGGCAAUGUGAAUGAUGAUGAUGGAAAGUUUACUGGAGAGAAUUUGCAGUUGGUUGAGAGUUAUUAUCAAAAUAGCUCAACAACAUUGAAUAAAGCUCAUGCUAAUGAAUCAAAUAUGCAAAUGCAGGCCAAUGAUCAAUAUGCUCCCACGAUUCAUUUCUCCAGUCCACAUGUGGAAAGAGUUUGCAGAUGGUUGAGAGUUAUUAUCAAAAUAGCUCAUCGACUACAACGACAUUGAAUAAAGCUCUUGUCAUGCUGAAGUUUUUCAAAAGAAAGUGAUAGGUAGAAAUAUUAGAAGAGUAAUGAGAAAAGAGAGAAGGAAGAAUAAUGAGUAAGAUGUGAUACAUGGAUGACAAAGGUAGAAUGGUACAGAACCUAUUGUAAAAUGAAGAAAGAGACGAAAGGUGAUAGGCCUUAAGACAGUAAAAGAGUAUAGGCCAUACAGUAAUAUCCUGAUUCCGGAAAAAUGAGUUCGCGGCUCUAACGUGAUUAACAACAGGAAAAGUUAGACCCUAGAGUAAGAGAUGUGAGCACGUGAGUUUUUCCCUCUAUGAAUUACUCCCAUAAUUUCAAAAUAAAAAUAAUUUCUUUUUAUUAUUUACAAUUUUAUAAAUUUCAUGGCAUUUUCUAUUAAUUUUUUGCAUUUUUAUCUAUGCAUAUAAUUCAUAAAAGAUAUAAAAUUAGAGCAUUUGUAUUUAGGACCUAAAUUUUAUUUCUUAGGUUAAUUAUUUAACUAAUGUUGCAAAAAUAGACUAAAAUACCAAAAAUAAUUCAUAUUGCAUUUUUACUCUUUAAUUUCAAUUCUAGUGGUUUUUCUUCUAGAUUAGGAAUUAAUUAAUUAUUAUUAGGAAACAAUUUGUUUAGUUUUAGAAUCAAAUAAUAUUUUUCUAUUUUUAUUUAAUAAAAGUCUAUAAAUCAAAAGAAAAGGAAUAAAAAGGGGAAAAGGAAAAGAUUUUGAAAAAAAGAGUAAUUAAAAAGGGUUGGAAAAGAAUUGGUUUUGGACCUCAUAGUAUUAAGUUCCCUAGCCCAACCAAAAUUACCCCUAAUACCCGCCCAAGCCCGCGUUUGACCCGGACCCAUGCCCAGUCCAUUUCUAUAAAAACGAAACGGUCCCGUUUUAGUGACCUUGGUUCUUAGCCGUUCGAGCUCGAUCUGAUCAAUGAUAGAGAACUGACCCUAUGGGAAGUAUAAAAAUGUCCUAACCUCUCACCCCACCCCAUCUCAGAUCUCCCUCACCUCACCAGAAGACCCUUGUAACGCUACUAGCCGUCGUCGCAAGAAAUCGCCUCACGGUGGUGGCGAGUCCCCAAUAGCCACAAAAUUUACAAUACUGGUUCAUCUCCUCACCCUCAUACCCAUGACAUAACCAGAUUCCCACAAAAUCAAUCCAAAUCUUUCGAAUUUUUAUUUGAAAUCAUAAACCUAGCGCCGCCACAAUUUCUCCGGUGGCGGCGCCACUUUUGUUUGACCUCAAAAUAACACUAGGUGACCACCAGGCUUUCCCAAUACCAAAUCCCUAAACCACACCCCUCGAAUCAAGAUGGAAGUCAAUGAAUCUUAAAAUUCGAAGUCCAAUUCAAAAGAUCAAAAACAUCUCCCUUCAAACCUGGUUGCAUGCAAUAUUUUCUCACAAUGUUGGUCGAGUUUUCCAUCUUUGUUUGAUUAAGCAUGACGGGGUAAGUCUUAUUCAUCCCGUAUGAUUUUAUUUAAAUUGGUUCUGCUUCCCUCUCAUUCCUUUCCCUGGGUUUGAUCAAAAUUCAUAUGGGGUUGUAGGUUCAAACUAGGUCCUCCUUAUGUUCCUCCCCUCUCUUUGUUUUUCCUUUCUUCACUAUGUUGGUUAGUUUAAUUGCAAACUUUCUAAUUAUAUCUUUGUUCGUUUCGGUCUUGUUAAAUGUUCACUUGUUCUUUUUUUUUGUUGCAAAGUUUUCUUUUGUUAUUUUGAUUUCCUUUAGUCGAUCAGAAACUUUUUAUGGUAAUUAGGCUAAGUCAGAUUGUUAUUAAAUGGGGAUUUAGCAUAUUUGGGUUUUAAUCUAAAAUUCAUCACUCGAUUGUCCAAGUUCUGAGUUUUAUAAUCAGUCAAUUUUGUUUGUCACUGACUUGGCUUGGUUUUUGACCCAUUUGGCUUGGGCUUUAGGUCCAUCCUUUGGACUUGAACCUUUUGGUCAUUGAUCCAUGACCCCAUUUGAGAUCCAGGGGUGGUAAAGUUAUGAGGUUUGAGGGGUAGUUUUGGGUCUUUGGGUAGAUAAUCUAGCAGUAACUACCUAAGAAACUCCUACAAGCUUCUAGUAUGGGGUCUAUCUUUAAAUUUCAGACAAUAACUUGGCUAACAAGUCUUAAAAUAAUGGAUUAAAUAGGCAAAAAUAAGAAAUUAAGCAGGGACUAAAAGGAAAAAUAAAAAUAUGAUGGUUUCCUUAUGGCUUGCCUAUUAAGGCAUCUCAAUCUUGCCUUGCAAGAGGGGCUAGGAUAAAAAUAUAGAAAAAUCAUAGAACGGUUGAAAAUUAAAAACAAUAUUGUUCCGUUAAGAUUUCUACUUUGGAUUUUGAAGUUUCUCAUCCCCGAAUGAUAAUUGAUCAUAUUUGAGUGUGUGAAAUGGCUUGAAUUCGGUUCAUGUUGAAAAUUCUAGGUAGAUUCUGUGGUUAAGCUACUGUUUCAUUUGUUUAUGAAUUGAUUUCAUUGAAAAUUGGUUGAAUCUGAGGCUUAUUUGUUGCACUGAUAUUACUGCACCUGUUGAAUAUCAUUUCUUCUCUAUCCCUUCCAAUUUCCAGGUACUUUCUUAGCUAUGAUUGAGGAAUGACUGUUGAACAUGUAAUGUGAAUGAAAGUUCAGUGAAAUGAAGACUACAUUUGAAGCUGGUUUUCCUGUUUCUUUACUGCUUCCAUGCUCUGCAAUUAGACCCUAAAUGUGGAUGUUAAUUUCUUUAUUAUUUUUCUUUGAAAGUGUGUACAUGAAAGUGACCUGCAACUAGUAUUUGGCACUUGUAUCAACUAUAGAAUGCGAUUUGUAGUAGUUAACUGAGAUUGUUUAAGUAUAGUUGCUUCAGGGACCGUUGAAUAAUAUUGAUUAAUGAUGUCAAGUCUGUGUUAGUGUGGAUCUGGGAAAUAACUUAUGUGUGUUCAGGGUAUUAUGAACUUGAGCCUGUAAAUAGAAGCUGAUUUGGGUCUGUAAAGAUGGUUAAACUAUGAAUUUCGGUUGUUCAGUUGUGUUAUUUUGCUUUAGUGUCCUAGGAAACAAAUUUUGGAUUGGUUCUUGUUUUAGGUCAAUAAGGUUUUGGCCUUGAUUAUUUACUUAAAACCAUCAACAGCCUAUGUAUUGUAUCCUUUAAUUUUUCUUGGUUUAAGCUGUGUUGAAAUUGAUGGAAGAAAAUCAUCUAAUUUCAUCUCGUAAAAUUUGAGCUUCCA
Molecule: long non-coding RNA, 16872 nt
Filed under: Nicotiana benthamiana
Lineage: Eukaryota; Viridiplantae; Streptophyta; Magnoliopsida; Solanales; Solanaceae
Description: long non-coding RNA (NBEN_LNC019175)
Source: RNAcentral